RNAcentral lists this ribosomal RNA (481 nucleotides) under uncultured bacterium. Its description in RNAcentral is "bacterial SSU rRNA". It matches the Rfam family "Bacterial small subunit ribosomal RNA", at positions 445 to 917 of the family's 1533-position model. The record is from RNAcentral.
AAGAAAUCCAGCUGGCUAAUACCCGGUUGGGAUGACGGUACCCAAAGAAUAAGCACCGGCUAACUUCGUGCCAGCAGCCGCGGUAAUACGAAGGGUGCAAGCGUUACUCGGAAUUACUGGGCGUAAAGCGUGCGUAGGUGGUCGUUUAAGUCCGUUGUGAAAGCCCUGGGCUCAACCUGGGAACUGCAGUGGAUACUGGACGACUAGAGUGUGGUAGAGGGUAGCGGAAUUCCUGGUGUAGCAGUGAAAUGCGUAGAGAUCAGGAGGAACAUCCAUGGCGAAGGCAGCUACCUGGACCAACACUGACACUGAGGCACGAAAGCGUGGGGAGCAAACAGGAUUAGAUACCCUGGUAGUCCACGCCCUAAACGAUGCGAACUGGAUGUUGGGUGCAAUUUGGCACGCAGUAUCGAAGCUAACGCGUUAAGUUCGCCGCCUGGGGAGUACGGUCGCAAGACUGAAACUCAAAGGAAUUGACGGC